CGCACCGCCUGUGUUUUGUCAACGAAAUAUCGGUCCCGUCGACGACGACAACUGGGUCUCAUUCUCACUCUCUGCAUAAUGAAUGAUGGCCUCUCUCCUGCAUCUUCUCUCACUCUCUG
This is a non-coding RNA of Caenorhabditis elegans, 119 nucleotides long. NCBI's taxonomy places the organism in Eukaryota, Metazoa, Nematoda, Chromadorea, Rhabditida, Rhabditidae. The record is from Ensembl.